UCUUGAGUAUGGUUGAGGCAGGCGGAAUGUGUUGUGUAGCGGUGAAAUGCAUAGAUAUGACACAGAACACCGAUUGCGAAGGCAGCUUGCUAAGCCAUUACUGACGCUGAGGCACGAAAGCGUGGGGAUCAAACAGGAUUAGAUACCCUGGUAGUCCACGCCGUAAACGAUGUUCACUCGCUGUUUGCGAUACACAGCAAGCGGCUAAGCGAAAGCAUUAAGUGAACCACCUGGGGAGUACGAUCGCAAGGUUGAAACUCAAAGGAAUUGACGGGGGCCCGCACAAGCGGAGGAACAUGUGGUUUAAUUCGAUGAUACGCGAGGAACCUUACCUGGGCUUAAAUGUAGACUGCAUAGGUUAGAGAUAUCCUUUCCCUUCGGGGCUGUUUACAAGGUGCUGCAUGGUUGUCGUCAGCUCGUGCCGUGAGGUGUCGGGUUAAGUCCCAUAACGAGCGCAACCCCUGCCGUUAGUUGCCAUCGGGUUAUGCCGGGAACUCUAGCGGGACUGCCACCGUAAGGUGAGAGGAAGGCGGGGAUGACGUCAAAUCAGCACGGCCCUUAUGUCCAGGGCUACACACGUGUUACAAUGGCCGGUACAGAGGGCAGCUACUUAGCGAUAAGAUGCCAAUCCCUAAAGCCGGUCCCAGUUCGGAUUGGAGUCUGCAACCCGACUCCAUGAAGUUGGAUUCGCUAGUAAUCGCGCAUCAGCCAUGGCGCGGUGAAUACGUUCCCGGGCCUUGUACACACCGCCCGUCAAACCAUGGGAGCUGGGGGUACCUGAAGUCUGUGACCGCAAGGAGCGGCCUAAGGUAAAACCAGUGACUGGGGUUAAGUCGUAACAAGGUAACC
Molecule: ribosomal RNA, 849 nt
Filed under: uncultured Bacteroidales bacterium
Lineage: Bacteria; Pseudomonadati; Bacteroidota; Bacteroidia; Bacteroidales
Description: bacterial SSU rRNA
Rfam family: Bacterial small subunit ribosomal RNA
Source: RNAcentral